ACUACUACAUCAAAAUGAACAAGCAGAACUAAGUAGUAUUGCAUUUCAAAAUUCUACGUGAAUAAUCAACAUUCAUGGUAAAAAACCAAUUAUUCAUUCAUAAAAUUUCCAGGCCAUUGCAGCUUCCAUACUUGCGCUUCAUAUAUAAUAGAUCCAAGGCAUACAUGGAUUCAAUCUGGUUCUAAUUUGUAGUGCAUCCACUUCUUAACAGUGGUUUGAAGGAAAAUACCUGGGAAUGGGAAGGCAAAGGGAAAGGGUCAGGAAUCAACAAUAAAUCAGCACCAAUAAACAAAACAACCCAGAUUCAACUAAAAUCAGUAAUAAAUUCAAUCCAUUGACUAAAAUCAGAGCAACAACCAAGAGGAAUGUUGUUCAAAAAAGACUUCAAUGUUUUUUGGAAGAACUUUCAAUGGAACAGUAAGUUUUCCUCAAUUUUCUGCUAUUUUUUCAGAUUUUUCUAUCACUUAGCUCUCUUUUUUUGUUCACCUCGCAGAAACCCUUAGCUUUUUCUCUCAUUGCCUUUAUAUGCUGAAUAUUAGGGCAAUCUUCAGAAUUUAUUUUUACUCUAUAGUCCCUCAUUUUAUGACUUGGUAAAGAAGUUAAUCACCAAAAACCUUGAAAUCCAAUUUGAACCCCACACUAGAAGCUUCCUAGGCAGUUACCAAAAGAUUCUCUGCCCAAAACUUCCUAAACUACCCUCCCAGUACCCUUGCAAUUACAUUGCACUCAAGUGGGCUGUGGAUCAAAUUGGACCUGGGUCGAGCCUACUGGACAACCAUCCCAGAUCCUGGAUUGAAAGGCAUAAACCUUCAACCCAAAAUUGUAAUGACCCUACCUUCAGACUUGGAUUACUUUUAAUUAUUUUAAAGUUGGCAGCUAAUACUAUGGAAUAUUGGUCAGACAGGAGAAGAAAAUAAACAUACUAAUUAAGCUAAAUGGAAUGGGCUACAAUCCUUAAUUUCGAACCUAAAACCUAAGAAGGUAAACAGGCCAGAAGUCAAAGUGUAACUGAUGAAACCUGAAGGAAAACAGGAUUUGAAAUAAAGAGAUUCAAAUACAAGGUGAAAUUCAUAUUAACAACAAGGCCCUACCACCUGACUAAAAUCUAGUAGUUCAAUUUCAAACAGAGAUUGAAAAUCAAUUAGACUUGUAAACCUUCGACCUAAAAAAAUUGACAUGAUAACCCUAAAUUAAUAAAGCUCCUAACACUAUUUAAUUAAACCAAACUGAAGCCCUUAC
This 1239-nucleotide long non-coding RNA is filed under the name Nicotiana benthamiana. Its description in RNAcentral is "long non-coding RNA (NBEN_LNC016110)". The record is from RNAcentral. Lineage: Eukaryota; Viridiplantae; Streptophyta; Magnoliopsida; Solanales; Solanaceae.